This 242-nucleotide long non-coding RNA is filed under the name Carica papaya (papaya). RNAcentral describes it as "long non-coding RNA (CPAP_LNC009089)". The record is from RNAcentral. Lineage: Eukaryota; Viridiplantae; Streptophyta; Magnoliopsida; Brassicales; Caricaceae.
GCAAGGUGAGCAGUCUGUGCGAGCCUGCAUACGUAGGCCUUUGGUCAACGCGCAGUAGGCCUACACGUUCGGCAGUCGCCCCUUGGGGGUGUCAGUCAUCCCUUGGGGGGCGUGUGCUGCCUGUUGGGCAGUGUGCCACUACCGUUUGGGCAGCGUACCUUCGGUCUUUGCAUUGCCGUUGUUGUGUUGACCAUCUAUCAAUUGCGUCUAUCAGUCGUCACAUUGCAUCAAGUCACUCUUUC